Molecule: ribosomal RNA, 460 nt
Filed under: Aspergillus insuetus
Lineage: Eukaryota; Fungi; Ascomycota; Eurotiomycetes; Eurotiales; Aspergillaceae
Description: eukaryotic LSU rRNA
Rfam family: 5.8S ribosomal RNA (bases 39-176)
Source: RNAcentral
CCGAAGUGGAAUCCAACUUAAUUAAUAAGUCAAUAUAGUCUAUUGGUACCGGGGUCUAUGAAGAACGCGGCGCACUGCGAUAUGUAAUGUGAAUUGCGGAAUUCAGUGAAUCAUCGAGUCUUUGAACGCACAUUGCGCCCCCUGGCAUUCCGGGGGGCAUGCCUGUCCGAGCGUCAUUGCUGCCCUUCAAGCCCGGCUUGUGUGUUGGGUCGUCGUCCCCCCUGGGGGACGGGCCCGAAAGGCAGCGGCGGCACCGCGUCCGGUCCUCGAGCGUAUGGGGCUUUGUCACCCGCUCGAUUAGGGCCGGCCGGGCGCCAGCCGGCGUCUCCAACCUUCUAUUUUACCAGGUUGACCUCGUAUCAGGAAGGGAUACCCGCUGAACUUAAGCAUAUCAAUAAGCGGAGGAACGGUGAUUCCCACACUCGACAGCAAAAUCGCCUCUAGGCGGUAAGUUCAGAAU